Molecule: ribosomal RNA, 519 nt
Filed under: Triticum aestivum (bread wheat)
Lineage: Eukaryota; Viridiplantae; Streptophyta; Magnoliopsida; Poales; Poaceae
Description: partial small subunit ribosomal RNA
Source: RNAcentral
AUGUCUCGGCUAUCCAGCAUGAGUUUAAUUCCGAACUUCACAGUUGCCAAAUGUUCUAAGUGCCAUAGUUGUGUGCAAUCUAAGCAACCUCGAAAGCCUCAUAAGCCUGCCGAGGAGAGAAACUUGGCACCUCUAGAACUCAUACAUUCUGAUCUUUGUGAGAUGAAUGGUGUGUUGACAAAAGGUGGAAAGAGAUAUUUCAUGACUUUGAUUGAUGAUGCGACUAGAUUUUGCUAUGUUUAUUUGUUGCAAACUAAAGAUGAAGCGUUAGACCACUUUAAAAUCUAUAAAGCUGAAGUUGAAAAUCAACUAGAGAGAAAGAUCAAGCGUCUUAGGUCCGAUCGUGGUGGAGAGUAUUUUCCAAAAGUUUUUGAUGAAUUUUGUGAGGAACAUGGUAUUAUUCAUGAGAGGACGCCUCCCUAUUCACCUCAAUCAAAUGGAGUGGCCGAGAGGAAAAACCGCACAUUGACUGACUUGGUGAAUGCCAUGUUAGCCACUGCUGGUUUAUCUAAGGCAUGA